UUCAAGAGAUGUGAAAUAUUACACCUAAACAAUAUUCCGUGUUAUCUGGCACAUGCAAGACAUUUAAUAAUCUCAGGGGAAAACCGUAUUAAUUAUAAUGUCGGCAUGCAAAUGCAAUGAGGAUUGAGGACAUGGCAAGGAAUUUAAAAGUGCCGAGGAAUAGGAACAAGGCAAUUUUCCUUGUUUCGGUAUGCGCUGUAUUUUUUCAAUACAUGAGAAAACACGACGCUUUUUCACAAAGAUAAAAUAUUUUUAAAGGAUGCGUAGCCGCGUAGGUUUGAAUUUGCGAUUGCGCUGAUCAUGUUAAUAAGGAAAGCUUAAAACACACCCCUCAUAUUAAGUUUUAGCUUAUGUGUUGAAAAAAGAAUACAGCGUAUAUAAACCUAUGCGUGAUAUUACGGUUAAUACGGUUUUCGCCUGAGAUUAUUAAAUGUCUUGCACGUGCCAGAUAACACGGAAUAUUGUUUAGGUGUAAUAUUUCACAUCUCUUGAAAGUUGAUUUCUCACCUCGGUAACGAAUGCUAGUGUUUUCAUGAGUUGCUCAUGGUGGAUAUGCAUCCUAAAGUUUCAAAUGCUGUAAAAUAUGAUAGUAUGAAUAUUUCUCUAGAAGGGUCAUCUUUUAGAAAUUCGAGGCAGGGCGAAAUUGGCAAGAAAUUUGCGAAGCAAUUUAGACGAUG
Non-coding RNA from Paramuricea clavata, 677 nucleotides. The record is from the annotation of a GenBank genome assembly. Lineage: Eukaryota; Metazoa; Cnidaria; Anthozoa; Malacalcyonacea; Plexauridae.